UGGGGAAUAUUGGACAAUGGGGGCAACCCUGAUCCAGCAAUACCGCGUGUGUGAAGACGGCCUUCGGGUUGUAAAGCACUUUAGUUGGGGAAGAAGUAUAGUAUUUUAAGAGAUAACUAUAUUGACGGUACCCAAAGAAUAAGCACCGGCUAACUCUGUGCCAGCAGCCGCGGUAAUACAGAGGGUGCGAGCGUUAAUCGGAAUUACUGGGCGUAAAGGGCGCGUAGGCGGUUAUUUAAGUUAGAUGUGAAAUCCCUGGGCUUAACCUAGGAACUGCAUUUGAUACUGGAUAGCUAGAGUGCAGUAGAGGGUAGUGGAAUUUCCGGUGUAGCGGUGAAAUGCGUAGAUAUCGGAAGGAACACCAGUGGCGAAGGCGGCUACCUGGACUGACACUGACGCUGAGGCGCGAGAGCGUGGGGAGCAAACAGG
Molecule: ribosomal RNA, 429 nt
Filed under: uncultured bacterium
Lineage: Bacteria
Description: bacterial SSU rRNA
Rfam family: Bacterial small subunit ribosomal RNA
Source: RNAcentral